GCUCGUGUAGCUCAGUUGGUUAGAGCGUUCGGUUCACAUCCGAAAGGUCCCUGGUUCGAGUCCAGGCACGAGCA
This 74-nucleotide transfer RNA is filed under the name Candidatus Woesebacteria bacterium. Its description in RNAcentral is "tRNA-Val". It matches the Rfam family "tRNA". From Rfam's summary of the family: Transfer RNA (tRNA) molecules are approximately 80 nucleotides in length. Their secondary structure includes four short double-helical elements and three loops (D, anti-codon, and T loops). The record is from RNAcentral. Lineage: Bacteria; Candidatus Woeseibacteriota.